This 244-nucleotide long non-coding RNA is filed under the name Elaeis guineensis (African oil palm). RNAcentral's name for it is "long non-coding RNA (EGUI_LNC048377)". Lineage: Eukaryota; Viridiplantae; Streptophyta; Magnoliopsida; Arecales; Arecaceae. The record is from RNAcentral.
UUACACAUACAAAAGAAAUAAAUAAAGUCUUUUUUAUAGGCAUGUAAUAAGGAGGAGUCCUAGAAAUCUUGGACUCUUCCUAGAUAUGUCGCCUUCUCACAAUUUUACAUCAAAAACAUGUCAAACAAAUAUGGGAUGCCCCUUCUCAUAUUUUUUCAUAAUAAUUUAGUUCUCCAACUAAUUUUUUACAAAAAAACUCUUCAAAAUAUCAUAUAUAUAAAGAGAAAAAAAUAAGUUGGCAUGG